GCCCCGGCGAAAGUCGGAUUUAAUACCCCAUAGAAACAGGGGUCCCGCCAUGGGAAUAUUUGUUAAAGAUUCAUCGCUGAUAGAUAGGCAUGCGUUCCAUUAGGCAGUUGGCGGGGUAACGGCCCACCAAACCGACGAUGGAUAGGGGUUCUGAGAGGAAGGUCCCCCCACAUUGGUACUGAGACACGGACCAAACUCCUACGGGAGGCAGCAGUGAGGAAUAUUGGUCAAUGGCCGAGAGGCUGAACCAGCCAAGUCGCGUGAAGGAAGAAGGAUCUAUGGUCUGUAAACUUCUUUUAUAGGGGAAUAAAGUGGAGGACGUGUCCUUUUGUAUGUACCCUAUGAAUAAGCAUCGGCUAACUCCGUG
RNAcentral lists this ribosomal RNA (367 nucleotides) under uncultured bacterium. Its description in RNAcentral is "bacterial SSU rRNA". It matches the Rfam family "Bacterial small subunit ribosomal RNA", at positions 145 to 507 of the family's 1533-position model. The record is from RNAcentral.